RNAcentral lists this long non-coding RNA (563 nucleotides) under Chinchilla lanigera (long-tailed chinchilla). Its description in RNAcentral is "lncRNA (ENSCLAG00000023156.1)". The record is from RNAcentral. Lineage: Eukaryota; Metazoa; Chordata; Mammalia; Rodentia; Chinchillidae.
UUAUUUGCAAAUCCCUGACAUUCUGUUUAAGUGGUUUGGAAGUCGGAGCAAAUGAUAACAAGAGCAGCUGAGAAAUGAGGUUUUGGCCUGGUUAUUGUCUGACCAGGUGUGCUGGGGCCCCUGAACUUUCAGAAGCUUUUGUGUUUCCAUCUGUACCAAGGGGAUUAGUGGCUUAGUCUAAUCUCAAGGGAGCAAGUUUUAGUGUUACUACUUAUAAGCCAGAAACUAUAAUGUUAUGUUUUUUUUACACAGCACCAUCUGCUUUGGGAUCCAGCGUGCUUAGCGUUUCCCCGGGACUCUCUCUCUCCAUACAGAAGAGGAGAGUGAUGUCUCUGGAUUUCUGUUUCUUCCUGUGAACCACAUGGACCGGAUGUGGACGUGAGAGCUUGCUGUCUGUGUGGUCAGUUUGAGUUAUCAGAGACCCUAGGCUGGGUGAUUGCACCAGCAGACUUCCUCACGGAUGCGAGAGCUGGGAGAUCUGAGAAGAAGAUGCCAGCAUGGUGGGUUUCUGGUGAGAGCUCGCUUCCCAGCUGGCAGGAUAGCCACCUGCUCACUGUAUCUUC